UCACAGAAACCUCUCAAUCAUCUUCAAUCAUCGACUUUUCUUCUCAUUUUUCAUAUCUUUUCUCUCUCUGUUAUCAUAAUCAGUUUUUCAAUCUUAGGGUUUUUCAUCGUCUGUUAAUCUAGUUUAGGAUUUUGAUUUCAUAGAUCUGUACAAGUCUUUCAUCAUCUGUAGGGUUUUAGUUUUUUCGAUUUGUCAUGUAUGCUGAUUUGAAGAUGAUUUGAUGUCAUUGAAGGAAGAUGAAGAUAACUCAUUGACCCAAUUUGGUUUUUUAGACCAUACAAAUCGAGAGAAAAAGGCUUCAGUAAAGAUCAUAGAUCGUCAAAAUGGUUGAUUUGUAGGAGCUGUAGCAGCUUUAGGUGGAGGUGGUUCUGUGGAUUGAGUAGAUUCUGAAGCAGAGGAUGAGAAUGAAGAUGAACCCAACAAAUCAAAACAGAAGUGAAUGAUUAAGAUGAUGAAAAAGAUGAAAGUGGUGGAAUUAUACCAACAGAAUUAGGAAACCCAAUGUCUAUCUUGGAUGGAAUUUUUGUGGCAAUCAAGGAUGAUAUAGACUGAUUAAGAUGAUGAAAAAGAUGAGAGUGGUGGAGUGGUGGAAUUAUACCGACAGAAUUAUGUGAGGAAACCCAAUGACUAUCUUGGAUGGAAUUUUUGUGGCAAUCAAGGAUGAUAUAGACUGCUCUGCAUACCCAUCUGGUAAGCUUUCAUCAGUGUGUAGUGUUGUAUUGAUACGUAGAGCGAGUUGUUGUUUGUUUGUCUAACUGUUAUACCGUUGGACUUUGUUCGAAGUUUCUCACUAAACUAUAACCACAAGUGCGACAACAUGGUUCCACGAAGUCCGCCCAGUCAAAAUUAAGAAGUUGUGGUGCGAUUCUCAUUGGGAAAGCAAAUAUGCACGAAUUGGACCUUGGAACAACUGGAAAUAAUCCUAAUUAUGGAACAGCGAGAAACCCUCAAUCCCUAGACAGAUAUACUGGUGGAUCUUCCUCGGGUCCAGCAGCAAUUGUAGCUUCUGGAUUAUGUUCGGCCGCACUUGGAACUGAUGGUGGAGGCUCAGUUCGAAUUCCUUCUUCACUUUGUGGUGUAGUAGGCUUCAUAUGGUCGGAAUGACAUGGAAGGGGCAUUAUGUGAUUGCGGGACUGUAGAAAUCAUCAGACCAAUUGCUUCUAAUUGCUUCCUAGUUGAAGAUGUUGUGCUUGUGUGAGUUGCCAAAAUUUUGAAAAAUAGCUUAUUCUCUGAUUGAAGAGCAAGAGGGGAAGGCGAGGACACCAGAUGAUUACAUAUCUUUUGUAACCCUCCUUGCAUAUCCACGUUAUUGUGGCGUAUCAUAUUUUGAGAAGGAAGAAGUGCGAGUUCUAUUAAGGAAGGAUCCUAUAUUUUGGACAUACAGACCAUUUACUGAACAAAUGGUCCGAGCUGCUGCUGAUGAUGUUUGUUUCCUUCUCCAUAUCUACCACAAUAUGAUGACAAAUCUGAACGAUAAAUCUCUAUUGGCAACUUUCAUAUCGGGGAGCACUAUAUUGUCGGUGUUUCUGUGUUAAUGAUAAUGAGUGUGUAGAUUGGCCGCAUGUCCCUCCCAUUCCAGGAUUACAGGAUCAUAUGAUCCCUAUGGUAGACAUGGCAUGACUCUUUGCAGACCGCAGUAUUAUCUUCAUCAUAGUCACUACACCUGCCAUAUAUUAACAUCUGAGAUUGGAACGUACAGCACAGUCAUAUGGAUGUUGACAAGAAAAGGAUGACUUAGUGAGGUGAUCAAAAGAUCAGAACAUAAUUGGAUGCUUCUGCACUUGGUCUAGCUGCACAAACAACAACAUACAAGGCCAGAUUCUUUGUGCAGAAACUGCAAGCGGCCUGGUCAUUAUCCAUAUGAAUAAGUCAGGGAUUACGGAGAACUUGAUGAAGAAUGCUUGGAAACUAUCUGCAAGUUUUGAUAAGUAUCUACAAGUUUUGAGUAAGUUGUAUGUAGUUUUUGAGAUGAAAUUAUACUUGGAAGAAUUGAUGUUCUUUUCUGAUGUGAAUUGAUUGGUUGAAUUUGAA
This is a long non-coding RNA of Papaver somniferum (opium poppy), 2031 nucleotides long. RefSeq lists it as uncharacterized. The transcript is spliced from 13 exons. Lineage: Eukaryota; Viridiplantae; Streptophyta; Magnoliopsida; Ranunculales; Papaveraceae. The record is from RefSeq and is a predicted model, not a curated record.